Columba livia (rock pigeon) is the source of this 697-nucleotide long non-coding RNA. RefSeq lists it as uncharacterized. The record is from RefSeq and is a predicted model, not a curated record. NCBI's taxonomy places the organism in Eukaryota, Metazoa, Chordata, Aves, Columbiformes, Columbidae. The transcript is spliced from 3 exons.
UUCAACAAAUUCCUCCAUGGAGAGUCCUUAAUAGCAGUUGCCCACAACUCCUCAUUGUGCUUGUUCACUCCUCUGCCAGCUGCUGCCAACACACAGCCUGCUGACCCACUUCCUCUGUGAACCUCUUUCUUCUUGGUUUAAUUUCCGAUGCCUCACAAAAUUGGGAAACCAAGCUAUCCGUAGCGUUUGUGCAGAGAAGGGAGCACAUCCACAAAGGAGGAGCUGAGACUGACUGUUGAUGCAACAUGACUACAGCUGUUCCAGUUAACAUCAGUUCAGCAAUCACCUUUGGUCUUCGCUUCACCCUGAAGUGUUCAUGUAACAGACGAACAAGCAAGGUUUGUUGGAGACCUCCAGACAUGUUCCACUUACAGACUGUGCAUGCAGGACGGCUGAAUUAGAGCGCUGUUUCAGGGAGAUUUUAAGGUAUUUUUGGCCAGGGUGAACACAGAGAGAAUUUGAUCUUUAAAUAUGGAAAAAGACAAAAACCUGGAUCCAAGUAAAGCUGAUAAACUCACAUUAUUUGUUCCAUGGCCCAUUGAACCUUCGAAGAAGCAUAAAUACAUGGCAGCUGCAUGUCUAUGAACUAUGCACUUUAUAGGUUCAUGGAAGAAACAUUUAUCAACUUAUUUUCUAACUGUGUUUAGAAAAUAAGUUGAUAAAUGUAUUUUCUAACUGUGUUUAGAAAAUACACUGA